Molecule: long non-coding RNA, 857 nt
Filed under: Nicotiana benthamiana
Lineage: Eukaryota; Viridiplantae; Streptophyta; Magnoliopsida; Solanales; Solanaceae
Description: long non-coding RNA (NBEN_LNC028390)
Source: RNAcentral
AGUUUCCAAUCUGUUGGCUUCCAUAGACUAUGCAGGAUUAAGGAGCCAUUUGGAUCCCAAAAAAAAAGCAGAAUGAUAGUCUAUAAUUUUGGAUUUGGGUGGCACACAAACUUCUAAGAACUCGAAGACAGUAGUUUGUUUUCAAAGUACUACUGACCUCUCCCGACUCGUCAAUCUGCAGAAAUGUACUGUUCACAUUGGAAGGUGUGUUUUGAAAUACAAGGCACCACCUCUAGAACACUUUCUAACCCUCCCCUAAAACAUGGGAUAGCAGGAAAAGACUGCGUAUGCACUCGUCUGGAAUAUCCCCUAGUUGAUAAUGAGUUAUGGGUGAUAUUUGUUCUUGUUGUAAGUCUAACAUGAGCAGCUGUGUAAAUUCCAACUUGGGGCAGCUCAUCGGCCGCUUAUAGCCAAGUCAACAACAACAACAACCCACUAUAAUCUUAGUUAGUGAGGUCUCUGGAGUAUAGUGUGUACGCAUACCUUACCCCUACUCUGGGGUAGAGAGGCUGUUUUCAAAUAGACCCCGGCAUCCUUCCCUCCAAGAACUUCCCACCUUGCUUUUGGAGAGACUCGAACUCAUAACCUCUUGGUUGAAAGUGGAGGUUGCUUACCAUCAGAGCAACCCCUCUUGUCCUAAGUCGAGUGAGCCUGGAAAUUAAAAUUUUCUUGCUUUGUCUCACUUUUUCAUGUUAUGAGACUUGAACUCACAACCUCUCGGUUGAAAGUGGAGGUUGCUUACCAUCAGAGCAACCUCUCUUGUCUCGUAUAGCCAAGUCAAUGAAUGUAUUAGGUGUAAUUUUGUAGAUUUAACUUGGAAAGAUUUAAUGUAUUGUUCAAGUGGUUGAGUUUCUUUU